This 817-nucleotide long non-coding RNA is filed under the name Homo sapiens (human). Its description in RNAcentral is "DPYD antisense RNA 2 (DPYD-AS2)". The record is from RNAcentral. Lineage: Eukaryota; Metazoa; Chordata; Mammalia; Primates; Hominidae.
GGCAGCAGCAAGCUGAUUACACAGGGAAAAGCUUCUAUCUAAAUACACAUAGCAUAACAAUCACCCCUGGAAAAACUACAUGGCUUACCAAAAGAGGUCUCUCUGUUCACUGUCCAUUAUCUGUUGACUGAACUAGUUCAAAUGAAUAACAACCAUACAAACACAUAUAUACACAAAUAUACAUAUGCUUCAAUGAAAAGCAGGCAUGCAGCUGACAGCUCGGCAACCCUGAGCACAGAAUUUUGAAGAGAGAAUACACUAAAAGGGAAGAACAUAACUACAUGACAUCAUAAGAAGUCCUGAAUUAGAAGCGUAUAUUUGAAAGGUCAUGCAUCCUGAGCUGCCAACAGCUUAACAACCAGAGGCAGAGGCCAGCUUUGCCAGCUCACUGCUUCUACUCAUCUUUCAUGAUAGUAGCCAGGCUGAAUAUAGUUCCAGGAUGAUAAUGAAUUGGCUGGGCAUACUGUUUAUAUUAGUAUGUAUGUUCCUGUACUAAACCAAGCAUCAUGAGGCCAGCACUAUUUUGCCAUUUUUCAGAAAAAAAAUAUGAACCCUUCAAAACAUAGUAAGCCUUUUUUAAAGUAUAUAUUUGAUUUUGAAAUAAUCAAAAUAUAUGUAGGGAUAUGACUGCAUCCUAAGAUUUAUGAUAAGUUCUGAUGAGUAAUAUUUUCUUUCUACAUGCAAGGCAAAGUUAAUAGUAACUAGAAAGUCUUUAUUUGGCAUAUCAUAGAUUUCUGUCAACCAAAACAACUAACUCUGGGGAACAUAACGUUCUGACAACUUCAGAAGAGUUAAGUCACAGACAAAAGUUUAUUGG